AUUAUUGGAUAUUGGUGGCAACACUGAUCCAGCCAUGCCUCGUGUGUGAAGAAGGUCUUCGGCUCGUAAUCCACUUUAAGUUGGGAGGAAGGGCUUUAGGUUAUUAUCCUGACGUUUUGACGUUACCAACCGAAUAAGCACCGGCUAACUCUGUGCUAGCAGCCGCGGUAAUACAGAGGGUGCAAGCGUUAAUCGGAAUUACUGGGCGUAAAGCGCGCGUAGGUGGUUCAGUAAGAUGGGUGUGAAAUCCCCGGGCUUAACCUGGGAACUGCUUUCAUAACUGCUGAGCUAGAGUAAGGUAGAGGGUAGUGGAAUUUCCUGUGUAGCGGUGAAAUGCGUAGAUAUAGGAAGGAACACCAGUGGCGAAGGCGACUACCUGGACUGAUACUGACACUGAGGUGCGAAAACGUGGGGAGCAAAC
RNAcentral lists this ribosomal RNA (421 nucleotides) under uncultured bacterium. Its description in RNAcentral is "partial 16S ribosomal RNA". It matches the Rfam family "Bacterial small subunit ribosomal RNA", at positions 359 to 773 of the family's 1533-position model. The record is from RNAcentral.